CACGUAGGGUACGAGCGUUGUCCGGAAUUAUUGGGCGUAAAGAGCUCGUAGGCGGCGUGUCGCGUCGGCCGUGAAAACCUGCAGCUUAACUGUGGGCGUGCGGUCGAUACGGGCAUCACUGGAGUUCGGCAGGGGAGACUGGAAUUCCUGGUGUAGCGGUGAAAUGCGCAGAUAUCAGGAGGAACACCGGUGGCGAAGGCGGGUCUCUGGGCCGAUACUGACGCUGAGGAGCGAAAGCGUGGGGAGCGAACAGG
RNAcentral lists this ribosomal RNA (254 nucleotides) under uncultured bacterium. RNAcentral's name for it is "partial 16S ribosomal RNA". It matches the Rfam family "Bacterial small subunit ribosomal RNA", at positions 524 to 776 of the family's 1533-position model. The record is from RNAcentral.